AUCCAACUGAAGAGUUCCAAAUACGACGGAAUGUGCGUCUUGUAU
RNAcentral lists this non-coding RNA (45 nucleotides) under Schistosoma curassoni. Lineage: Eukaryota; Metazoa; Platyhelminthes; Trematoda; Strigeidida; Schistosomatidae. The record is from RNAcentral.